Molecule: ribosomal RNA, 397 nt
Filed under: uncultured bacterium
Lineage: Bacteria
Description: partial 16S ribosomal RNA
Rfam family: Bacterial small subunit ribosomal RNA
Source: RNAcentral
AUCCGUAGGUGACAAGCGUUAUCCGGAUUUACUGGGCGUAAAGGGCGUGUAGGCGGUCUUGCAAGUCAGAAGUGAACUUCCUGAGCUCCACUCGGGCGAUGCUUCUGAAACUGCAGGACUUGAGUGCUGGAGGGGAUAGCGGAAUUCCUAGUGGAGCGGUAAAAUGCGCAGAUAUUAGGAAUAACACCGGUGGCGAAGGCGGCUAUCUGGACAGUAACUGACGCUGAGGCCCGAAAUCGUGGGGAGCAAAAAGGAUUAGAUCCCCUGUUAGUCCACGCCGUAAACGAUGAAUACUAGGUGUAGGGGGUAUCGACUCCCUCUGUGCCGCAGUUAACACAAUAAGUAUUCCGCCUGGGGAGUACGACCGCAAGGUUGAAACUUAAAGGAAUUGACGGGG